UGCACAAUGGGCGCAAGCCUGAUGCAGCGACGCCGCGUGGGGGAUGAAGGCCUUCGGGUUGUAAACUCCUUUCGCUAGGGACGAAGCUUUGUGUGACGGUACCUAGAUAAGAAGCACCGGCUAACUACGUGCCAGCAGCCGCGGUAAUACGUAGGGUGCGAGCGUUGUCCGGAAUUACUGGGCGUAAAGGGCUCGUAGGUGGUUUGUCGCGUCGUCUGUGAAAUUCUGGGGCUUAACUCCGGGCGUGCAGGCGAUACGGGCAUAACUUGAGUGCUGUAGGGGUAACUGGAAUUCCUGGUGUAGCGGUGAAAUGCGCAGAUAUCAGGAGGAACACCGAUGGCGAAGGCAGGUUACUGGGCAGUUACUGACGCUGAGGAGCGAAAGCAUGGGUAGCGAACAGGACUAGAUACCCUGGUAGUCCAUGCCGUAAACGGUGGGCGCUAGGUGUGAGGGUCUUUCUACGACUUUCGUGCCGUAGCUAACUCAUUAAGCGCCCCGCCUGGGGAGUACGGCCGCAAGGCUAAAACUCAAAGGAAUUGACGGAA
RNAcentral lists this ribosomal RNA (545 nucleotides) under uncultured Actinomycetes bacterium. Its description in RNAcentral is "bacterial SSU rRNA". It matches the Rfam family "Bacterial small subunit ribosomal RNA", at positions 365 to 918 of the family's 1533-position model. Lineage: Bacteria; Bacillati; Actinomycetota; Actinomycetes. The record is from RNAcentral.